GGAGAUGCUCUCUCUUUGCUUUCUUCAUCUCCUGCUUCUCCCUACGUUAAGAUUAGAAAAGUUAUUGAAAAAAUGUAACACAAAAGAAGAGAUAUUAUGAUUUAAUACAAUUCUAAGGAAAUAGAAGAAAUUUGAAUAAAACUCUGUCUUACACGCAAAGAUUACAAAGAGCAACAUCUAUAUUCACAUUUUCUCCAAGUCUCAAAGGGAGUUUUGCCAUAUUCCUAGACGAUAGCAUUUCUAAAUCUUUAUAAAAGACAUCAUGAUUCCAAUUUUCACCCAGCCCAACAACAAAUAACUGAAGUUCUAUGUCAUUGUAACUUU
Long non-coding RNA from Osmia bicornis bicornis, 324 nucleotides. RefSeq lists it as uncharacterized. The transcript is spliced from 3 exons. Lineage: Eukaryota; Metazoa; Arthropoda; Insecta; Hymenoptera; Megachilidae. The record is from RefSeq and is a predicted model, not a curated record.